UACGUAGGGUGCAAGCGUUAAUCGGAAUUACUGGGCGUAAAGCGUGCGCAGGCGGUUAUAUAAGACAGUUGUGAAAUCCCCGGGCUCAACCUGGGAACUGCAUCUGUGACUGUAUAGCUAGAGUACGGUAGAGGGGGAUGGAAUUCCGCGUGUAGCAGUGAAAUGCGUAGAUAUGCGGAGGAACACCGAUGGCGAAGGCAAUCCCCUGGACCUGUACUGACGCUCAUGCACGAAAGCUAGGGGAGCAAACAGG
Molecule: ribosomal RNA, 253 nt
Filed under: uncultured bacterium
Lineage: Bacteria
Description: partial 16S ribosomal RNA
Rfam family: Bacterial small subunit ribosomal RNA
Source: RNAcentral